UUCAGAUACUUUCCUGAGUUGAUUCCAUGUGUUCAGUUAUCGAUACUCCCAAGGUAAAGCCUACAUCUUUUAAUUACAUGUACUAAAUCAGUAGAGGGAUUAAUCAGACAUGAUUUGCUAAGAUGUUGGAUUAAUGGAUUUGGUUGCUAAACUAGGAUAUUUCAUAUAAAAUAUUUCUAAAAAUUGAGAUUGAUUUGAUGUGGUUGCAAUAUUAUUGAGGUGAUGAUAGGGAAUUCUUAAAUUAUAUGAGUCGCUCCUGUUUCAAAAACACAUUUCAAAGAGACUACUCGUUGUUUUGCUUGAGGACAAACAAAAGAGUAAGUUUGGGGGUGUUGAUAUACCAUGAAAUUUACCCAUUUUUAGCCAUGAUAUAUAGGUGCUUUUAAAUACUUUAUAGUUGUUUUGGAGUCGUUAUAGUAUAUUUCCAGGUUUUGGAGUGAUUUGGAGGAAAGUUGUGAUUUUGAUGCAUUUUGGAGUAAAAAUGAUUAAGACUCGUAGCUGACCAUCGACCAUGACUAUCGAUCGAUGAGCGAAGGCAAUAAUCGAUCGACACGCACUCCGCAUU
This 565-nucleotide long non-coding RNA is filed under the name Brassica napus (rape). RNAcentral describes it as "long non-coding RNA (BNAP_LNC012001)". Lineage: Eukaryota; Viridiplantae; Streptophyta; Magnoliopsida; Brassicales; Brassicaceae. The record is from RNAcentral.